GAUGAACGCUGGCGGCGUGCCUAAUACAUGCAAGUCGAGCGAACCACUUCGGUGGUGAGCGGCGAACGGGUGAGUAACACGUAGGCGAUCCGCCCAUCAGACGGGGGCAACGAUUGGAAACGAUCGCUAAUACCGGAUAGGACGAAAGUUUAAAGGUGCUUCUGGCACCGCUGAUGGAUGAGCCUGCGGCGCAUUAGCUAGUUGGUAGGGUAAAGGCCUAACAAGGCGACGAUGCGUAGCCGACCUGAGAGGGUGAACGGCCACACUGGGACUGAGACAAGGCCCAGACUCCUACGGGAGGCAGCAGUAGGGAAUCUUCGGCAAUGGGCGAAAGCCUGACCGAGCAACGCCGCGUGAAUGAUGAAGGCCUUCGGGUUGUAAAAUUCUGUUAUAAGGGAAGAACGACUUUAGUAGGAAAUGGCUAGAGUGUGACGGUACCUUAUGAGAAAGCCACGGCUAACUACGUGCCAGCAGCCGCCGUAA
RNAcentral lists this ribosomal RNA (483 nucleotides) under uncultured bacterium. RNAcentral's name for it is "partial 16S ribosomal RNA". It matches the Rfam family "Bacterial small subunit ribosomal RNA", at positions 28 to 523 of the family's 1533-position model. The record is from RNAcentral.